RNAcentral lists this ribosomal RNA (547 nucleotides) under Mylabris variabilis. Its description in RNAcentral is "partial 16S ribosomal RNA". It matches the Rfam family "Bacterial large subunit ribosomal RNA", at positions 1797 to 2619 of the family's 2925-position model. Lineage: Eukaryota; Metazoa; Arthropoda; Insecta; Coleoptera; Meloidae. The record is from RNAcentral.
CGCCUGUUUAUCAAAAACAUGUCUUUUUGUUAGUUGUUUAAGGUUUGGCCUGCUCCAUGAGUGUUAAAUAGCCGCAGUAUUUUGACUGAGCAAAGGUAGCAUAAUCAUUAGUUUUUUAAUUGAAAGCUGGAAUGAAUGGCUGGAUGAGGAAAUAACUGUCUCAUGUUAAUUUAAAUAGAAUUUUAUUUUUAAGUAAAAAAGCUUAGAUUUUAUAAAAAGACGAGAAGACCCUAUAGAGUUUAAUAGGUAGUAUAUAUAGGAAAUUUCAGGGUUUUAUUUUUUUUAUAUUUAUACUUAUUUUGUUGGGGUGACAUAGAAUUGAAUGGAACUUCUCUAUAUAAGUACAUUGAUUGAUGAACAUAUGAUCCUUUCAUAAAGAUUAAAAGAUUAAAUUACCUUAGGGAUAACAGCGUAAUUUUUUCAGAGAGUUCUUAUCAAUGAAAAAGGUUGCGACCUCGAUGCCGGAUUAAAGUAAAUUCUUGGUGCAGAAGCUGAGAUAUUGAGUCUGUUCGACUUUUGAAACUUUCGUGAUCUGAGUUUAGACCCG